Molecule: ribosomal RNA, 450 nt
Filed under: Kocuria sp. DD76
Lineage: Bacteria; Bacillati; Actinomycetota; Actinomycetes; Micrococcales; Micrococcaceae
Description: bacterial SSU rRNA
Rfam family: Bacterial small subunit ribosomal RNA
Source: RNAcentral
GGACGAACGCUGGCGGCGUGCUUAACACAUGCAAGUCGAACGAUGAUGCCCAGCUUGCUGGGCGGAUUAGUGGCGAACGGGUGAGUAAUACGUGAGUAACCUGCCCUUGACUCUGGGAUAAGCCUGGGAAACUGGGUCUAAUACUGGAUACUACCUCUUACCGCAUGGUGGGUGGUGGAAAGGGUUUUACUGGUUUUGGAUGGGCUCACGGCCUAUCAGCUUGUUGGUGGGGUAAUGGCUCACCAAGGCGACGACGGGUAGCCGGCCUGAGAGGGUGACCGGCCACACUGGGACUGAGACACGGCCCAGACUCCUACGGGAGGCAGCAGUGGGGAAUAUUGCACAAUGGGCGGAAGCCUGAUGCAGCGACGCCGCGUGAGGGAUGACGGCCUUCGGGUUGUAAACCUCUUUCAGUAGGGAAGAAGCGAGAGUGACGNACCUGCAGAAGAG